CCGACCAAAAUGAAUCAGUGAUUUUGUUUUUGUCGUAAGAGUGAGUUUUAAACACUCCCCUCUCUCUCUCUCUCAUCGUAGUUUCGGUUUAGAUAGGACCGGGUUUGAUUGUUGAAUUAGGCGCAACUUAAUUUGAUCUCCGUCUAAAUCCGGAUAAGGAGAAAAAGAAAGAAGAAGAAGAGUGUAAGAGGAGGAGACGGAGAUGGUGUUAUUCCCGGGUUUCAAGGCGGCGAUCCCAUCGGCUCGUAAUAUCUGCAACUUCUGAUUAUGUCUUACGGUUAGUCUGUAUGCGUCGAAAUUUCCUCUAAUUGCUCGCUAGAUCGGGUCAAUUGAUAUGUAUGUAAUGUAACAUGUGGUUAUAUCUAUCUUUGCCUAAGAAUUCCAUUAAAGACUGAGAUUUAACCACCAAGGGAUUUGUAGCCACGGCUAAUCCGAGCUCACCCGAUUGAGGUAAGAAUGGUUACUACUUGUUUUCUAUUACACAGUGUUCCAUGUUGCUGUUCUUUGGCGUGCCAGUCUUGUGAUUUACUUGUUUUUGUUUUCCACAUUCCUUCGACAGGUUUUGUGGAAUCCUUACAAAUAUUUUGCUUCUAACUAUUAGAUUAGGUAUAAUAUCAGUCGAUCAUCUGAGAGUAUUAUUAGCCAAAGAUUAUAUUACAAAGUAUAGAGGAAUAAAGCCGUUAAAGGCUGGUUAAGAGAUUGCCUAAAUUACAUAUAAAGAUAUAUAAUUUCCUAUUCUAAUACUAACUGCUAGCAAAGAGACGUCACAUGAAUCUGUUGCUGAAACCAAGGAACCCAAAAGAAGCCCUUGUGAAGAAAGAUGUGCUAUCCAUCCAUACCAUGCCCAAAGGUAAAUGAGAGCUUCUUUUUUUUAAGCUCUAUCUUUGCUUUGUGAUCUUCUCUUGUGACCUAUCUUUCUUGUCUCUGGAAAUUGAAUUUUCCAAUCUUGUUUGCUGCCUUUACUUUCCCCCUUCCCUUAUCCGCAUGCCAUGGCUUAUUUGUAAACCUAUCAUGUUCAUGUUCUUACAUACUGCAAAGUGAAAAGCUGAUUUGGCGCUGCUGCUCCUUCGAGACAAACCGCUCACCGAGCUUGAUGCAGCUGCAACUACGUUACAUAAGGUGUACAAGAGUUACCGGAUUAUGAAGGAGCCUAGCAGAUUGCGCGGUCGUUGUUGAGGACCUCUGGUUACUGGUUAGUUACUCACUUACUUGAUUUAUCUUCGUCUUUGAAAUGGGUUUACACUAACCAUUGGUAUUGCUUGAAAUUUUGAUGGUAGAAAGACUCUGAGUUUGAGCUCUCUGUGUCUUUCUUUGAAGAAGAGAAACAUGAGACCGCUGAUCAAAAAUAUCGGCACAAGCUGCUAAGGUCUGACAUCAUUUUUUCUCUGCUUAGCUUCUUAGGUCAAGGUG
Molecule: long non-coding RNA, 1410 nt
Filed under: Capsella grandiflora
Lineage: Eukaryota; Viridiplantae; Streptophyta; Magnoliopsida; Brassicales; Brassicaceae
Description: long non-coding RNA (CGRA_LNC000085)
Source: RNAcentral